AGACCCGAAACCCGGUGAUCUAGCCAUGGGCAGGUUGAAGGUUGGGUAACACUAACUGGAGGACCGAACCGACUAAUGUUGAAAAAUUAGCGGAUGACCUGUGGCUGGGGGUGAAAGGCCAAUCAAACCGGGAGAUAGCUGGUUCUCCCCGAAAGCUAUUUAGGUAGCGCCUCGUGAAUUCAUCUCCGGGGGUAGAGCACUGUUUCGGCUAGGGGGCCAUCCCGGCUUACCAACCCGAUGCAAACUGCGAAUACCGGAGAAUGUUAUCACGGGAGACACACGGCGGGUGCUAACGUCCGUCGUGAAGAGGGAAACAACCCAGACCGCCAGCUAAGGUCCCAAAGUCAUGGUUAAGUGGGAAACGAUGUGGGAAGGCCCAGACAGCCAGGAUGUUGGCUUAGAAGCAGCCAUCAUUUAAAGAAAGCGUAAUAGCUCACUGGUCGAGUCGGCCUGCGCGGAAGAUGUAACGGGGCUAAACCAUGCACCGAAGCUGCGGCAGCGAACGUAUCACUUAAAGCGAUUCAGCGGGUUACGAUUGACGGAGCGAAGCGACGUCAAAGCGUAUACAAAGUCGAGUCGG
RNAcentral lists this ribosomal RNA (580 nucleotides) under Salmonella enterica subsp. enterica serovar Infantis. RNAcentral describes it as "partial 23S ribosomal RNA". It matches the Rfam family "Bacterial large subunit ribosomal RNA", at positions 711 to 1232 of the family's 2925-position model. RNAcentral also lists the same sequence under 1 other name. The record is from RNAcentral. Lineage: Bacteria; Pseudomonadati; Pseudomonadota; Gammaproteobacteria; Enterobacterales; Enterobacteriaceae.